AAACAAACACACACAUCGUCUUGCUUUGGGUUCACAGUCUGUUGCAUCCCCAAACCAUUGACAGCCAAUGCCAUCCACUUCUGCUUCCGAUGUCACUGCAAACACUUUGAGGUCUGCGGCUGUGCACACCAGGACAUUGGUUUCCACAAG
Molecule: long non-coding RNA, 150 nt
Organism: Pomacea canaliculata
Lineage: Eukaryota; Metazoa; Mollusca; Gastropoda; Architaenioglossa; Ampullariidae
Exons: 3
Source: RefSeq, a predicted model, not a curated record